This 77-nucleotide transfer RNA is filed under the name Buttiauxella sp. 3AFRM03. RNAcentral describes it as "tRNA-OTHER". It matches the Rfam family "tRNA". From Rfam's summary of the family: Transfer RNA (tRNA) molecules are approximately 80 nucleotides in length. Their secondary structure includes four short double-helical elements and three loops (D, anti-codon, and T loops). Lineage: Bacteria; Pseudomonadati; Pseudomonadota; Gammaproteobacteria; Enterobacterales; Enterobacteriaceae. The record is from RNAcentral.
ACCGGUUUAGUUCAGCAGGCAGAACGUCUGAUUGCAAAAUCAGAAGGGCGAUGGUUCAACUUCGCUAGCUGAUACCA